GGGAUGAUCUCCAGCUGGAUUCCAUCCUCUGCUGACAUGGCCACAGUGAGACACCAACUCCAAGAGAGAUCAGGACCAUUUGGGACCGAUGGAUGCCAAUCAGGGGCUGCCAGCCCUUUGGCCAUUCCCCAUCCCUCAACCCUAGACCGGGUUGUAAGUGUGUCAUGACUUUUGACCUCUAAGCUGAGCUCCCAAGCCAGAACCCCUUGGCGUCUCUGUGGCUUGGAAGGGAAAUAGUUUCCAAGGGGAAGAGGAGGCCAGCGUUCCAAGACGGUUGCCAAGAGUGGCCAGUUCAAAGGGGAUUUUCUUGGCAUGAGGCUGUGGUUUCCGGCUUCUGAACCCAGCUUGCUGUUGAUCCUGAGUGUGAUUAGAGAGGACGGUGCCCACUGGGACCCCAAGCGAGAAGCUGAUGAUACAGAGGAGAAGAGGGAGAGGAGAAUGCAUCAAGAGCUUUUCAUCUUCCCUUCCUCAUGGCUUGUGCCAAUACAUAUGACAGGAGCAGGGGAAGUUGGUCAAGGCAAUCCUUAUUCAGUUUGGGAGUUCAAGCAUCACCAUGUUCUUGGUGCUCUCCUUUAGCAACACAGGGAACUCUUGACAGUGAGCUGCUUGGGACUCAGAAGAACAAAUUCUUGUUGGAAAACUGUCCCCGGUCCAUGGUCUCCAAAACCAAACAGAGAUUUCUUUGGUUUCCUUUUGUGGCCUUCACAAAACAGUCAAGAAUUCAGCACAUCAAUCUAGAUUCUGGGAGAAAGAAAACUCUGUUCAGAGCCUGAAAUAGCUACGGUGGGUCAGAAACACACAAGAGCUCUCUAUAUGCCAGCUCCCAGUGUCUGAGGUCUGGAGACUAGAUUUCCUUGUUUCUGAGAGUGGAUUUUGCCAGCCUAAGUGAUGGCAGCAGUCAAGGCACUGACAGAGUUCCUGUAGAAGCACACAGCUUACAUAUCUUCAUACUCAACUUUGGAGGAGAGAUCCUAAAAAUGGACUUUCCUUGUUAAAGAGAUGGUAGCAGCAGGGGCAGCCAGGUAGCACAGUGGAUAGAACACCAGGACUGGAGUUGGGAGGACCUGGGUUCAAAUUUGACCUCAGAUACUUUUUCACUGUGUGAUUCAGGGCAAGUCACUUAGCCCCAGUUGCCUAGACUUUGUCUUCCUUCCAUCUUAAAACUGAUACUAAGGGUUUGAGAGAAAGGAAGGUUUGAAGAGACAGAACAGAGACAGAGACAGAGACAGAGACAGAGACAGAGACAAAGAAAGACAGAGAAAGAGGGGGAGGGAGAGAGAGAGAGAGAGAGAGAGAGAAAGAGAGAGAGAGAGAGAGAGAGAGAGAGAGAGAGAGAGAGAGAGAGAGAGAGAGAGAGAAGCACAGCCUAGGCACUGAGAGAUCUUGGAAGCAUGUUAUAUCAGAAAUGGACAAGUGAAUGCAUGCUUAGUCUGAGAUGGAGUUUCCAUUUAGGGGUUUACCUUAUGGAGAAUCCAAGGUCUGAGAAUUUGGAAAGUGGAUCUUGCAGAGAGAGCAGAGGCUUUCUUCAUGCAGCCUGCCUCUUGGAGAAAGAAGAAUGUUAUCAACAUAGUUCCUGAGCAGUAACCCAUUUGAAGAGCAAAGCCAAUGCAUUCUUCCAAUGUACAGUUUUGAGAGGAAGAGGAUUAUUUGUUCAGCAGCCUCUAAAGCAUUGUUUACUUCUGAGAGAGAGUCUAAACCAGUGGAUGGCAAUAGGAGUCUGGGGGGGACUGGUUUGGAUGCUGUGGGAAAAGGAAACUCAGAGGGAUGUGACAGGGUUGACCUGAAAGCAAUCCCAACUUUCAUUCUAUUCUGGGGGGAGCUGGCGAUGCCCUUUCAUUAUCCUGUUUUUGUAUUCUUUUAUGAAUGCUGCUAGUCCUUUCCAUUUUUUCUGUGGGAAAAAUAAAGACAGCCCCAUAGCUAAUUUACA
This is a long non-coding RNA of Monodelphis domestica (gray short-tailed opossum), 1927 nucleotides long. NCBI's taxonomy places the organism in Eukaryota, Metazoa, Chordata, Mammalia, Didelphimorphia, Didelphidae. The record is from Ensembl.